GCUCAUAACCAAAUCUGCAUUGCACUAGUGGCACGACAGUGCUAAUUUCAGUUGACUACAGACACAAAGCACACGUGGUUUCACAUUAGUUUCGGAAACACAAACACAACAUUCUAAAUAAGCAAAAUGUUAGAAUUAAACACACAUGUUUAAUUGGAAGGGAAUCUCCCCUUGUUAACUGCCAUGCCGUUGCCAUCAGGCAACCGACACGCCUCUCCCUUCGCGUCCCUCUGUAUCGUCGCGUCCCUACGGGAUGUAUAUAUUGUAACAAACCCAAUCAAUUAGAACAACGAUUCCACUACUUAGUCAAUUAUCUAUCGCUUACUUUGCAAUACGUUAUCAGCACGCUCCCGGCAGAGCGAUUCUAUCGGCGCCUGGCUACGACCUCGCUCGCUCGCGAGUUCAACGACCGCGGCCCUCGGUUCGGCGUGGUGGCGCCUGCUACCGCGGCGGCCAUCAGCCCGGCAAAAACGCUUCCAAGCGGCAGCCUCAAAACUUCGCGCCUCGCACCCUCGUCGCCAGCCGUGGCCACGCCCGCCCACGCCGUGGCCGUUCCUGGCCGCGUCGGCGCUGCUCCCCGGCCUCCCCAGCCGCGCCCCGCGCCAGGUCGUGGCCAUGCUUGCAUGCUUGCUGUGCUGCCAUGGAAUAGCCAAUCUAGCACUUUCUGUGUGGAUUGCUGACCGGCGACGGAUAGAGCGAGAUGCAUCAGAUCUUGGUCUGACGGGGGGCCUGCGGUGCUGAGAUGUGGACCUGCAUGCCUCGCGCCAUCGCCAUCUGGCCGCGCGGGCCGCCCCGCGCCUCGGCCGCCACACUGCCGCGCCGCCGGACUCGCGCCCUCCA
This 840-nucleotide long non-coding RNA is filed under the name Triticum aestivum (bread wheat). RNAcentral's name for it is "long non-coding RNA (TAES_LNC018470)". Lineage: Eukaryota; Viridiplantae; Streptophyta; Magnoliopsida; Poales; Poaceae. The record is from RNAcentral.